Molecule: ribosomal RNA, 253 nt
Filed under: uncultured bacterium
Lineage: Bacteria
Description: partial 16S ribosomal RNA
Rfam family: Bacterial small subunit ribosomal RNA
Source: RNAcentral
UACGUAGGGGGCAAGCGUUGUCCGGAAUUAUUGGGCGUAAAGAGUGCGUAGGCGGUGUCCUAAGUUUGUUGUGAAAUCUCCCGGUUUAACCGGGAGGGUGCGGCGAAGACUGGGAUGCUGGAGUGCGGGAGAGGGAUGCAGAAUUCCAGGUGUAGCGGUGAAAUGCGUAGAUAUCUGGAGGAAUACCGGUGGCGAAGGCGGCAUCCUGGACCGGCAUUGACGCUGAGGAGCGAAAGCUAGGGGAGCAAACGGG